This 253-nucleotide ribosomal RNA is filed under the name uncultured bacterium. Its description in RNAcentral is "partial 16S ribosomal RNA". It matches the Rfam family "Bacterial small subunit ribosomal RNA", at positions 524 to 776 of the family's 1533-position model. The record is from RNAcentral.
UACGUAGGGGGCAAGCGUUGUUCGGAUUUAUUGGGCGUAAAGAGCGCGUAGGCGGCCAGAUAGGUCUGUUGUGAAAACUCGAGGCUCAACCUCGAGACGCCGAUGGAAACCAUUUGGCUAGAGUCCGGAAGAGGAGAGUGGAAUUCCUGGUGUAGCGGUGAAAUGCGCAGAUAUCAGGAAGAACACCCGUGGCUAAGGCGGCUCUCUAGUACGGUACUGACGCUGAGACGCGAAAGCGUGGGGAGCGAACAGG